Molecule: long non-coding RNA, 570 nt
Organism: Magallana angulata
Lineage: Eukaryota; Metazoa; Mollusca; Bivalvia; Ostreida; Ostreidae
Exons: 3
Source: RefSeq, a predicted model, not a curated record
GGUGGAAGGCUACAUCGUCACAAACAUGUCUGACUUCCGUUCGAAACGCCAUUGUGUUCCGGAUUGAUAACAUUAUGUCGUGGUACAAAAUAGCUAUACACCGUUUAAUUGAACUCUUCUAACUAAGGAGACGAGAUAGGACUGGAAUCACCAAAACGCUUAGAAAAUAUGUCAAUUUUCUUCCUGUUUAAAGCUUUUAACUAACAUUGAUUAUCAGCUGUUUUGUACGGAAAACGUGGACUCUAAAUAAUAUACCGUUUCCCUGCUCUGCUGCUAUUGGCAAUACAUUUUUGUCAUGUCAUCUGCAACAGACGAUCAUACAUAUGUGGCGGAUUAUCGAUAUAGAUACAGCUAGGUAGCAUUAGCAGUGGAAGCCCGGAUUUGCAAGCAAAAUGAGGGAAAGACAGGAUUCUGAAAAGGAGCAUGUUUUUCAUUUCCACACAUGCAUGUGUAUCACUAUGGACAUCUAAUGUUUUUGUGGGAUUUUGUCCAGCAGUUUGCCUUAACAGAAUUUUUUUAUAUUUUAGUUUCAUAUUUAUGUGGAUUCCAAUAAAAAUCAUACAAACUUCA